RNAcentral lists this long non-coding RNA (370 nucleotides) under Callithrix jacchus (white-tufted-ear marmoset). RNAcentral's name for it is "lncRNA (ENSCJAG00000055897.2)". The record is from RNAcentral. Lineage: Eukaryota; Metazoa; Chordata; Mammalia; Primates; Cebidae.
CUCACCAACUCUUGGUCAUCAUCAUUAUCUAAUUUAGAGAUCAUGGAACAUUCUCUCUGUCCAGUUAGAAAGGUGACUGAUAUUGCUGGGAUUUUUUUCCCCAUGUAAACAAACAUUCAUCUCUUUCAUUUUGGCGUGGAAUGUGAGGCCUCCGCGGCUGAGAACUUUCACCACUGUGAUUGAGGGGGUUUUCAUCUGCUCUCUCUAAGGAAGCGACAUAUAAGUCAAGCAUGAAAGAUGAAGAGGAGCAGAUUGUAUGCAGAGCAGAGGGAAGAGCAAGCUGAUGGAGGAGACUAACCAGUGAGCUUGAUGGUAAGUGCUCAAGGAAGCCCAGCUUUCUCAACAUCACCAACUGCUCAGAAGCCUUCAG